This 301-nucleotide ribosomal RNA is filed under the name uncultured bacterium. Its description in RNAcentral is "bacterial SSU rRNA". It matches the Rfam family "Bacterial small subunit ribosomal RNA", at positions 333 to 630 of the family's 1533-position model. The record is from RNAcentral.
GCCUUCCUACGGGACGCAGCAGUGAGGAAUAUUGGUCAAUGGGCGGAAGCCUGAACCAGCCAAGUCGCGUGAGGGAAUAAGGCCCUACGGGUCGUAAACCUCUUUUGCCGGGGAGCAAGGGCGGGGACGUGUCCCGGCCCGGAGAGUACCCGGAGAAAAAGCAUCGGCUAACUCCGUGCCAGCAGCCGCGGUAAUACGUAUGGUGCAAGCGUUAUCCGGAUUUACUGGGUGUAAAGGGAGCGCAGGCGGCACGGCAAGCCUGAUGUGAAAGCCCGCGGCCCAACCGCGGGACUGCAUUGGG